AAAAAUCUCCUUUUCAAAGAUAUAAGCUUAAACUGUAGAAAAGUUUUUUGUUGGAAUCCUUUUUUUUCAUUUUACAUUUUAAGAGGAAUUGUUUCCUCGUAGAGUAACAAGUAAAAGGGGUAGAUAGUAUUGAAAAAAAAAAGAGAACAACAAAAAAAAUAGAAUUGAAAUAAUCAGUAUUCGUGAUGCACACAUUGUUUUCUUGUAUUAGAUCGAAAGGUUCUUUCUGGAACUAGCUGCGAGGAUGGGAAUUUAUGAUAUGAAAAGACAAUUUCUAUUUCUAAUAAAUAUGGAAAAAAAAUGUAGAACCUAGAAAAGAAAGAAAAAAUUAUAGGAAUUACUAGUCUUAGAAUCGAGUUGGACAAAAAUAAAGAUUUGAUUUUCGUGAGUGAUUUGAUCAGUU
This 403-nucleotide long non-coding RNA is filed under the name Eucalyptus grandis. RNAcentral's name for it is "long non-coding RNA (EGRA_LNC000004)". The record is from RNAcentral. Lineage: Eukaryota; Viridiplantae; Streptophyta; Magnoliopsida; Myrtales; Myrtaceae.